This 807-nucleotide ribosomal RNA is filed under the name Triticum aestivum (bread wheat). RNAcentral's name for it is "partial small subunit ribosomal RNA". Lineage: Eukaryota; Viridiplantae; Streptophyta; Magnoliopsida; Poales; Poaceae. The record is from RNAcentral.
AUGCAUGCAAUCUUGAAAGGCGCAUGGGGAGGGAGCCUGCUGGCCGAUGUGGUUCUGUUUGCACGUUACCACCUCGUUGUCGUCAAGGAUGGAAGGUGGUCUGAUUCUGUCGGGCAAUUUAACUUCAUAUCCUUCUGUGUUCACAGCAGAAAGAGGGGCCUCAAGGGAAGAAUAGCCCGUUUGAUUAGGCUUCGGGACAUGUGGGACAAAGCUCGCAACACCAAACGUGCCAAGCUUUCACCUGCCGUGAAGGAGUUCAUAUGGGACUUGCUCAGAUGUGAGAAGAGUCAGAUGGUACAAAUUGAAGACGUAGCCAUCCGGAGUGGGUACUGGGCUCGCAGGUUCAGGGGCUUCGACCACACUGAAGACCUCGAUUGGAGCAUGAGUUUUGAAUUUCAGAAGAGCGUGCUUAUCUGGCAUUUAGCCACAGACGCCUUCCUGAAUGACCCUGCCGUGAAAUCAAAGCUGGUCAACAAGGACAAGGACAUAGCUGAAGCAGUGCAUACUCUCUCAAAUUACAUGAUGUACCUCCUCAUUGAGCACCCUGGCAUGCUGCCCGUCAAUGCAGCUGCUCGAGACCUGUUUCGCCAAACCUGCACCUCUUACAUGCAAGGAUUCACUAGUGCAUGUAAUCUUGAGUCGCGGAUAGUUAGGCUUUACGAGGAAGGGACUCAUCAGGGGAUAAGUGAACUAUGUCGUGACUUGACGCAAGCCAGUUGGGAUGCUUACCCGGGCGAAGCUGUGCGGGUGAAAUCAUGGGCUCUUGCUCACAUAAUGCUCAAAAAUGGAGCUGGGACUGACACAUAA